GGGGGCGUGGUGGAAUGGUAGACACAACGGACUUAAAUUUUGAGCAAAUUUUUGUAAGUUCUCAAAUUCAGAAAAACUUUUUUCUAAAAUGUUGAAAAUAGUAAUCCUGAGCCAAAUUAACUUUUUGAAAAAAUAAAAUGUUAAAAGGUGCAGAGACUCGAUGGGAACUACCUACUAGGGUAAAGAGAGAGUCCAUAUUUUUUGAAAAAUUGAUAAAAACUUUAUCAAAAAACAAAAAAUAGAAAAUCCGUUGACUAUUUACAGUCGUGAGGGUUCAAGUCCCUCCGCCCCCA
Molecule: transfer RNA, 293 nt
Filed under: Neustupella aerophytica
Lineage: Eukaryota; Eustigmatophyceae; Eustigmatales; Chlorobotryaceae
Description: tRNA-Leu
Rfam family: Group I catalytic intron (bases 25-212)
About the family: Group I catalytic introns are large self-splicing ribozymes. They catalyse their own excision from mRNA, tRNA and rRNA precursors in a wide range of organisms. The core secondary structure consists of 9 paired regions (P1-P9).
Source: RNAcentral